AGUAGGGAAUCUUCCGCAAUGGACGAAAGUCUGACGGAGCAACGCCGCGUGAGUGAUGAAGGUUUUCGGAUCGUAAAGCUCUGUUGCCAGGGAAGAAUGCUUGGGAGAGUAACUGCUCUCAAGGUGACGGUACCUGAGAAGAAAGCCACGGCUAACUACGUGCCAGCAGCCGCGGUAAUACGUAGGUGGCAAGCGUUGUCCGGAAUUAUUGGGCGUAAAGCGCGCGCAGGUGGUUCCUUAAGUCUGAUGUGAAAGCCCACGGCUCAACCGUGGAGGGUCAUUGGAAACUGGGGAACUUGAGUGCAGAAGAGGAAAGUGGAAUUCCAAGU
Molecule: ribosomal RNA, 329 nt
Filed under: forest soil bacterium AC01
Lineage: Bacteria; Bacillati; Bacillota; Bacilli; Caryophanales; Bacillaceae
Description: bacterial SSU rRNA
Rfam family: Bacterial small subunit ribosomal RNA
Source: RNAcentral